UACGUAGGGGGCUAGCGUUGUCCGGAUUUAUUGGGCGUAAAGAGCGUGUAGGCGGCCAGGUAGGUCUGCUGUGAAAACUCGAGGCUCAACCUCGAGACGUCGGCGGAAACCGUCUGGCUAGAGUCCGGAAGAGGAGAGUGGAAUUCCCGGUGUAGCGGUGAAAUGCGCAGAUAUCGGGAAGAACACCCGUGGCGAAGGCGGCUCUCUGGGACGGUACUGACGCUGAGAGACGAAAGCUAGGGGAGCGAAUGGG
Molecule: ribosomal RNA, 253 nt
Filed under: uncultured bacterium
Lineage: Bacteria
Description: partial 16S ribosomal RNA
Rfam family: Bacterial small subunit ribosomal RNA
Source: RNAcentral